UUAACUAUUGUAUAGUUUUCUCAGACUGCAAUAAUUCAAGAGUUUGGAUCCUCUGGCAGGCGCGAGUCCAGCCUAAGCCGGGAGGCCUGCCAAAGCAACAAAGUUCGGUAUGCAAAGGGGUGAGAAUAGGGCUGUGAAGCCUUGUAUUCUUUAAUGAUCCUUCCGCAGGUUCACCUACGGAAA
This 183-nucleotide unclassified non-coding RNA is filed under the name uncultured fungus. RNAcentral describes it as "sequence contains ITS1". Lineage: Eukaryota; Fungi. The record is from RNAcentral.